CAGUAGCCGCGGUAAUACGUAGGGUGCAAGCGUUAAUCGGUAUUACUGGGCGUAAAGCGUGCGCAGGCGGUUAUAUAAGUCAGAUGUGAAAUCCCCGGGCUCAACCUGGGAACUGCAUUUGAGACUGUAUGGCUAGAGUGUGUCAGAGGGGGGUAGAAUUCCACGUGUAGCAGUGAAAUGCGUAGUUAUGUGGAGGAAUACCGAUGGCGAAGGCAGCCCCCUGGGAUAACACUGACGCUCAUGCACGAAAGCGUGGGGAGCAAACAGGAUUAGAUACCCCCGUAGUCCCUGUCUCUUAUAC
This 301-nucleotide ribosomal RNA is filed under the name uncultured bacterium. RNAcentral describes it as "partial 16S ribosomal RNA". It matches the Rfam family "Bacterial small subunit ribosomal RNA", at positions 509 to 807 of the family's 1533-position model. The record is from RNAcentral.